UGGGGAAUUUUGGACAAUGGGCGAAAGCCUGAUCCAGCAAUGCCGCGUGUGUGAAGAAGGCCUUCGGGUUGUAAAGCACUUUUUGUCCGGAAAGAAAUCCUUGGCUCUAAUACAGUCGGGGGAUGACGGUACCGGAAGAAUAAGCACCGGCUAACUACGUGCCAGCAGCCGCGGUAAUACGUAGGGUGCAAGCGUUAAUCGGAAUUACUGGGCGUAAAGCGUGCGCAGGCGGUUUGCUAAGACCGAUGUGAAAUCCCCGGGCUCAACCUGGGAACUGCAUUGGUGACUGGCAGGCUAGAGUAUGGCAGAGGGGGGUAGAAUUCCACGUGUAGCAGUGAAAUGCGUAGAGAUGUGGAGGAAUACCGAUGGCGAAGGCAGCCCCCUGGGCCAAUACUGACGCUCAUGCACGAAAGCGUGGGGAGCAAACAGGAUUAGAUACCCUGGUAGUCCACGCCCUAAACGAUGUCAACUAGUUGUUGGGGACUUCAUUUCCUUAGUAACGUAGCUAACGCGUGAAGUUGACCGCCUGGGGAGUACGGUCG
Molecule: ribosomal RNA, 542 nt
Filed under: uncultured bacterium
Lineage: Bacteria
Description: partial 16S ribosomal RNA
Rfam family: Bacterial small subunit ribosomal RNA
Source: RNAcentral